AAAAUAUUAAAAACUUUUUGACCUCAGAUUUCGAACAGUUUGAAAGCCCAGUUCAGGACAAAGUUGGUCCAUUAAUCACUUUACACACUUUGGUAUACAAUUUAACCACGAAUCGUCUUACAAACGAACAUCGCUUGCAAAUUAUUGAAUUUUAUUAUUAAAUUGCGUGCUCUGCUAAGAAAGCUCAUCGCGCUUCUUCCAUUUUAUGGUAAGCUCAUUUUUGGAUCAAUGGGUACGUAAAUAAGCAGAAUAGUCGAUUUUGAAGUGAAGAUCAGCCAGAAACAUUGCAAGAGCUACCAAUACAUCUAGAAAAAGCCACAGUUUGGUACGAUUUAUGGGCUGGUGGCAUCAUUGGACCGUACUUCUUCAAAGAUAAUGUGAAUCGUAACGUAACUGUGAAUGGUUAUUCAGUUUGCUGAAGACAACAACUUGCCCCCGAAAGCUCUUUUGCUUUUGGACAACUGUACCGCCCAUGCACAAAUAGAAAAACUGCUAAAAAUAAGUUGCCCCUAAAAUUAAUUUGUGAAGGUGAAGACAUUGCUAAGCAGUUAAAAACCCAUUCAAUUCGAGAUGCAAUAAUGUCGCUGCAUCAAGCUUGGAUUGAGGUGUCACAAACAGUGGUCCAAAUUAUUCAAUUGUGAUUGAAGUGAUUACGACAGCGAGGAUGAUUUGCCACUAAGACAAUUAUAUCCACAAAAUCAGAAUUACAAUGAAGUUCUUGAAAUUAACCAAAACUUAUUGAAUCAAAUUAACGAAAAGAAAUAAGUUUGGUGUAGAUGAAAUCGAAACGUGGAAUGAAGACGUUUUUCCUGACAGAUCUGUUAGUGAUGAAGAUGCUUCACAAAGUAGUGACACUAGUCUUAUCUUAGAAACGCCAGUGGUUUCCAAUGCAAAAGCAUUAGAAAGCGCAAAUACUUUCAUUAAA
Stomoxys calcitrans (stable fly) is the source of this 925-nucleotide long non-coding RNA. RefSeq lists it as uncharacterized. The transcript has 4 exons. Lineage: Eukaryota; Metazoa; Arthropoda; Insecta; Diptera; Muscidae. The record is from RefSeq and is a predicted model, not a curated record.